AGCCCUAAAUCUUGAUGUUUCCCAAACACAAACAUCCGCCUGAGAACUACGAGCACAAACGCUUAAAACUCUAAGGACUUGGCGGUGCCCUAAACCCACCUAGAGGAGCCUGUUCUAUAAUCGAUAACCCACGAUCCACCCGACCACUUCUUGCCAAAACAGCCUACAUACCGCCGUCCCCAGCCCACCUCUGUGAGAGCACAACAGUGAGCCCAACAGCCCCCACUCCGCUAACAAGACAGGUCAAGGUAUAGCCCACGAAGUGGAAGAAAUGGGCUACAUUUUCUAAAAUAGAACAUCCAACGGAAAGGGGCCUGAAACCUGCCCCAAGAAGGCGGAUUUAGCAGUAAAGUGGGAUAAUCAAGCCCCCUUUAAGCCGGUCCUAGGGCA
This 390-nucleotide ribosomal RNA is filed under the name Amazona brasiliensis (red-tailed parrot). RNAcentral's name for it is "partial 12S ribosomal RNA". It matches the Rfam family "Bacterial small subunit ribosomal RNA", at positions 798 to 1381 of the family's 1533-position model. Lineage: Eukaryota; Metazoa; Chordata; Aves; Psittaciformes; Psittacidae. The record is from RNAcentral.